RNAcentral lists this transfer RNA (73 nucleotides) under Leuconostoc mesenteroides. RNAcentral describes it as "tRNA-Asn". It matches the Rfam family "tRNA". Rfam says of the family: Transfer RNA (tRNA) molecules are approximately 80 nucleotides in length. Their secondary structure includes four short double-helical elements and three loops (D, anti-codon, and T loops). RNAcentral also lists the same sequence under 8 other names. The record is from RNAcentral. Lineage: Bacteria; Bacillati; Bacillota; Bacilli; Lactobacillales; Lactobacillaceae.
UGUCUUGUAGUUCAGUUGGUAGAACACCGCACUGUUAAUGCGAAGGUCGCUGGUUCGAGCCCAGCCGGGACAG